UGCGCUUAAGUCCAAAGUAAUUCAUUUUAGAUCGCGUCGAAGAAAUAUUGGAAAUGUAGAUAUUCUAUUAGAUAACAAAAUAUUAGAAGAAGUAGAGAUAAAUUAAACGAAAAAUUAAGUGUUUUUAAUGGCAUAAUGUAUAAAUACAAAAAUAAGAUACCUAGAGAAAUCAAAAUGAAUAUGUACAGUGCUUUAAUUCACUCUAUAUUGUCAUAUGGUUUGCCGCUGUUAUAUGGUUCUUUUGACCUUUAUUUCGAAAAUAGGAUCCUGCCUAUAAGGAGUAUUUACCAGUACCAAGUAAUUUUGGCAAUCUAUAAAAUACUUAAUAAUAUUGGUUAUUCUAAUAUCUUUUCGAUUGAAAGAUAUUCACAUAGGUUUAAUACUAGGCACAGGAAUAACAUUCGUGUUUGUAGGAGCGGUUCCGUAAUGUCGUCUCAAAGAUUAUCUGUCGCCGGUUCUAGAUUAUACAAUAAUCUGCCGAGCAAUCUAAAAAAUAUACCGGAUAUUGGUCGUUUUAAAAUUGAAUUAAAAGAACUCUUACUAUCCUCAGCUCGCUUGAACGAAAUCUUGAAUUAAUUAU
This is a long non-coding RNA of Condylostylus longicornis, 580 nucleotides long. RefSeq lists it as uncharacterized. The record is from RefSeq and is a predicted model, not a curated record. The transcript is spliced from 3 exons. Lineage: Eukaryota; Metazoa; Arthropoda; Insecta; Diptera; Dolichopodidae.